AGAGUUUGAUCAUGGCUCAGGAUAAACGCUGGCGGCGUGCCUAACACAUGCAAGUCGAACGCGCUCAGAAAUGAGCGAGUGGCGGACGGGUGAGGAACACGUGGGUGAUCUACCUUGAGGUGAGGAAUACCGGCGAGAAAUCGCCGACAAUACCGCAUAAGCUCGUGAGAGCAAAGUCGCAAGACGCCUUGAGAUGAGCC
This 200-nucleotide ribosomal RNA is filed under the name uncultured bacterium. RNAcentral's name for it is "partial 16S ribosomal RNA". It matches the Rfam family "Bacterial small subunit ribosomal RNA", at positions 8 to 231 of the family's 1533-position model. The record is from RNAcentral.